GUCAGCCCUUUCCCCUCCCGGGGGCCCGACUGGCUCAGCCUGGGCUCAGUUGCUCUCCCUUCUCUCCACGUGGUCAGUGGCCUGGGCGACCACUUUCUGCUCGGUUUUGACAGCAACCCUCAUUAGAAGACCAGGUCGGCUCCUCUGCACUCCUGUUCUCUCAGUCACACGCAUUUGUGGAACGUGUCCUGCCUCCCAGGCCCGUGCUGGACGCAAGAGGGCUGGAGGGAGGAUGACAGGAGCUCCGUCCUGGAGGCACUGACUCUCUCCCUCCCUAGAAACAACUGCCGGCAGACACGGGGUCCUUCCCCAGGCACUCCCCGGUUGCCUCCCUCCCAGCCUCUCACCUACUUGGCACCUGGCACCUCUUCCUUGUUUUGACGUCCUUUCAAGUUUCUGAGUCUCCCCAGCGGAAUGCUCAGACGGACUUCCUCCAUUCACAUCUGUGCACUGAGUGCCUGCCCCAGGGCACAGCAGCAGGGGCUAGUCCCCCGCCCUGUGGUCUGGUGUGCCAGACGGAUAAGAAAGAGGAGUAUGUGUAACAGUUUUUAUUAGAAGUUAGUUACAGACUUCCAAUACGGAAGCAGUGUCAGAACAAUCACCUGAUUGGAAAAAGAGACUUGGAGCCCAAGACAGAGGAACCUGGAUUAUCUACCCCGGAGGACGGAGGGGGCUGAGAGAGUGUCCCUCCCAGUCACCCUUGGCCACUGGAUGGCUCCGUGUUCACGACACCCUUGUGCCCAGUUUCAUUCUGGUUCCACGUGAGCUUGCUGCUGCUCUGGAAAAAUGAGUCCUUUGAGAAGGCAGUGCCACCGCACUUGACCAGUGUGUCUGUGUCUGUUGGAGGCACUGGCGUGGAGUGUCACCAUUGGAAUAAUGUUCUGUUUAUGGAGCGUUCUCUCUGAGCCGAGGGUUGUCCUGAGGACCUUACACAUGGCUAAUUUCACCCUCAGCCCUCAUGAGAGUCUGCAAGGUAGCAUCAGGGGCUGUCUGCAUCUGACACGUGAGGACACUGAGGCUCGGCAAGAUUACAGAAUUGAGGCCGAAUCAGAUCCAAACUCAGAUCUGUCAGAGUCCAGAACCCCUGGGCUUGCCCUGACAACCAUGUCACUUUCUGCUGCUCAGAAUCUUUAGAAUGCUUCGAGAUGGCCUCUGUAUGGAGCAUGUAAUUAAAUGCUGUGGAAUGAUGCUCUGAGGCAGAGCACGUCAUGUUAACUCUGGAAAUGGUGACUUGUCUGGGGCUACAUGAUCACCUCAGUGCAGAGGUUCAUUCCCAUCCCCAGCCCCGGUUCAACUGCCUUACAGGGGUACGGGGAGAUCUAGUGGGGGCUGGUUACACUGGGGAUGCAGGGGCGGGAGGUGGUUGUGCCGAGGAAGGGAUAGCUGGGUUUUCAGCAAUCUGACACAAAAAGAGAGGGCAGUCCAGAGACAAGGGUUCUGUCCCUGGGUCCUCCAUUUUCCUCAGCUAAAGAGUGGUUCUAAUAAUAGUGUCCACCUUACAAGGCCAAGUGGUAGAAGCAACCUGCUGGGCCAGGGGGGAACAGACUGCAGAACAGUCAGAGCAAGGCCAGUGACAUUCUGAUGCUACUGCUCAGGUCCCCAUUUCUAACACGUACCUGCUGCAAGCCCAGACCCGUGCCAGGUGGUGCGUCAUGAGCAAACAAUAAUGCUGACAGACUUGGCCUUGGCCUCUAGGGCUUAUAACAGAAGUUGAGAGGAGAAUGACCAAUACGAUGCGGUAGUAACACUGCAGAGAGGCCGAGGGGUAGACAUAUUUGCAGGGCAGUGUCUGUGAGCAGAAAACACUUGACAGAAAUGUCUGUAGAUACAAUGGGAUGUCCAGCACUUCAUGCUCCUACAGAGGGGGUAGACAAAAGCAAUCACCCUUUAUAGCAAUCUAAGUAGGAUAGCAAUAGGGAUAAUAGUAAUUAGUGUAUCAAAUGCCCCAGCCUCCAAAGAUAUGCACAGUCCAUUCAUUGUAGGGAAUUGAUUUGUUGGUGUUGUGGAAGAAAAGGGGCCACAUGUUAACCUGACAAGCUCAGGGGAGGCCUGCGUGGCAGCCUUACAAACUCUGACCUAAAGUAACCUAACCACAAUGGAUGGUCUGAAAUGAAAACUUUCUAACUAUAAGCAGUUCAUGGCAGAUGUUCCUGUCCCAGGCCAGUAACAAAGUCAACCUUUAACUUAACUGAGCCUGUCUGUUGUCUUUUUGCAUCCAUGAUAACAUACCUUUGGAAUGUCAAAUUUCCUUUUUCCUGACCCCUCAAAGCACAGGCGCUGCACCAGGGGGCAAAUCCCCUCAUUGUUAUUGUUAUUAUGUUAAUUGUUGACUAUUAACUAUCCUGUACCCACCAGUGGAAAAGUGUCUAUUAUUUUACUUUUUACCCAACCCCAGAGGUUUCCCUGUUUAGCUUUCUCCCGCCUCCCUUAUCUAUCUCUAAGGGAUUUCCUGUAUGCCCCUUGGGCCUCCCUCUUUUGAUGGUAAUAUAUAAAAUAAGGUGCUAAAGUGCCAUUCUCUGGAGCAUUUUCUCAGUACAUUGGGAUUUUGCUUCCCUGGAACUGUCUUCAGUUUGGCUCAA
This is a long non-coding RNA of Phyllostomus hastatus (greater spear-nosed bat), 2579 nucleotides long. RefSeq lists it as uncharacterized. The transcript has 3 exons. Lineage: Eukaryota; Metazoa; Chordata; Mammalia; Chiroptera; Phyllostomidae. The record is from RefSeq and is a predicted model, not a curated record.